Spea bombifrons (plains spadefoot toad) is the source of this 1334-nucleotide long non-coding RNA. RefSeq lists it as uncharacterized. The record is from RefSeq and is a predicted model, not a curated record. NCBI's taxonomy places the organism in Eukaryota, Metazoa, Chordata, Amphibia, Anura, Pelobatidae. The transcript has 2 exons.
UACCUGAAGGGCUUUAAUGAGAGACAGUGCCCUUUUGUCACCCCUACGGGAACCCUAAAAGGCAGAGCCGGCCCCAGUAUGGUAAAUUGCCAGCCGAAGAUAUGUUGUUUCCAGACAGAUUUGUGGAGAAGAAGAAGCAUGUGUGCAUUUAAUUCUCUGUGAUUCUAUCUACCUGGUCUCUCAUGUACUUCUGCAAAAAGCCAGCCUCUUCCCCCAUUCCUCCAGUCGGGAAAAAGUGUGUGCCUAGAAGUUCUGCCCUUUUGCAGAUGUGCAUUGUGAGUAUCAGUGAUGUAUUUUUAUGUGGGUGGAAUUGUAGAGGCAGGAACAAAGUGGAUAACAUUACAGAUAACCUCGCAGUUAAAUAACAGACUGCUCACAGCUGGUGGCAAAACUGUGGCUGAGGUAAGGGGGUGAAUGUAGAAGAGCAUGGAUGUGUAAAUGAACGUGUAUGGGUAAAUUUGUGAGCAUGGAUGUGUAUGUGUAAGUGUGGAUGAGCAUGGGUGUGUAAAUGUUGGAAUGUGAGCAUGGAUGUGUAUGUGUGAGCAUGGGUGUUUAUGUGAGUAUUUGUAUGUGAGCGUGGAUGUGUGUGUGCGUGUGAAAGCGUGGAUGUGUAUGUCUGUGUGUUUUUGUGUGAGCAUGGAAGUGUGUAUGAGCAUGUAUGUGUAAGUGUGUGGGACCAUGGAUGUGUGUGUGAGAGUAUAGAUGUGUAAGUGUUUCUGUCUGGGAGCAUGAAAGUGUGUGUGAGAGCAUGGAUGUGCACGUAUGUUUGUGUGUGAGCAUGGAUGUGAAAGUGUGUGAAGAUGUAUGUGUAAAUGGUGUGUGAGCAUGGAUGUGUAUGUGUAAAUGUGUGUGUAAGCAUGGAUGUGUAUGUGAAGUACAGUACCCUGAACCUGGGUGACAAGGAAACGAAAACUGUUCAACUAUGACUUCCUGUUUCAUAUGGGUAUAAAUAUUAGGUCAUUCAUCAAAAUGACCAAGGAAUAUAUCUGUACGGCAAAAGGUUUUUUAAGCUUUAAAAAAAUGAGAAAUAGCUAUUUUCUUGUAGCCAAUGCAGUGAAAAUGCUGAUUUCCACCAUCAGGGCAAUAAUUACCUUCCAGUCAAUUGCAAAUGUUAUGAAUCAACCCAGAAGAGGACGUUUGUCUAUAUUGUCUAAAUGCACUGUGAAGAUGAUGGUUUAAGUGGUUGAAAAAUCUCAAAGGAUCGCAGCUGGGGAAUUCCAGAAGUCAGCUGUGUCUCGGGGAUCAGAAAGUCUCCAAAACUGCAAUCUGACAUCACCUACAUCACCACAAGUUGUUUGGAAGGGUUUCAAGAAAAAAGCCUCUACUCUCAUCCA